AACAGACCGUCCACAGACUGUUUGUGUGGGAACUCAGAGGGUUGAGACACGGUCUGUGGGAACACAGACAGUGGAAUGUAAAGUGUCCGCCAUUUCUGUUGCUACACAGUUGGCCCGGGGAACACUGAAAUCGGCCCACGUGAGAAGCAAAGGCAUCCAGGCCACGGUGUCUUUCAAAAGUGUUGGCACUAAAACUUCCACCUACACAGAAAUCCCCUUGUCCUCUACACCAAUAAAGGGCCCAGGAUUGGGACCUAGCAAGAGACCUCGACUAGAGUUGGAGCAGGAACAAGGAGAGACUUCGAUUGAAUUUGAAGAGACUCUGGAUUCGAGUUACCACCCUGAUGAUACUGUAGAAGAAUCUGACGUAUCACUUCAGACACGAUCCACGCACAGUGAGGCAAAGUACAUUGUGUUUGAAAGCUGCCUCGGACAGCUGUUUGAAAAAUGUCCGUUUUGUAAGACAGACUGUGAUGUCCAUUUAUCAAAAUUUAUCAAAAUAAAGUUUGAUGGAACUA
This is a long non-coding RNA of Gymnodraco acuticeps, 518 nucleotides long. RefSeq lists it as uncharacterized. The record is from RefSeq and is a predicted model, not a curated record. The transcript has 3 exons. Lineage: Eukaryota; Metazoa; Chordata; Actinopteri; Perciformes; Bathydraconidae.